This 1391-nucleotide long non-coding RNA is filed under the name Diabrotica virgifera virgifera (western corn rootworm). RNAcentral describes it as "uncharacterized LOC126887386". Lineage: Eukaryota; Metazoa; Arthropoda; Insecta; Coleoptera; Chrysomelidae. The record is from RNAcentral.
AGUAUUACCCCUACCAUUCUCCGACCGAUAUUUCUGUCCCCUGAAUAUCAAAGGAGCCGACAGGUGCUUUCGCUUCUUGUUGGAUGGAGUAUUCUUUGGUAGAACUGACUGUUAUUUAACGCGCGUAGUUUGAAAAUUAUUGCGACUGUCUCAUGGUGCACACGUCUCAAGGUGGCCCACUCUCCCCUAUUUCCCCGUUGUUCUCUAUGUUCCAUUUUAUUGAUGAUGCGUAGUCUUUGCACGGAUGAAUGACAGUUAACGGCAUCCUACGUCUGGCGUGAUUGGUUGUUAUCGUCGCUCAUUGAAAAUUUUGUCUUAGCGAGUCGAUUGCAAAAUUGGCACCGUGAAAAUCGAAAGUGAGCUAACUGACUCCCAUUAAACUGUGCCAGUGGUAUCUGACACUCGCUUCUUUGGGUAGUUUUUUGGUUUCUUGUUUGCUCUUUUAUGUCCAUUUAAUUCCCACGAGAAGCUUUGGAAAGGGUGGUCCACUUCUAUACAGCCCCCUUUCCCAAGGGUACCAUUUGUGAUAUUGUUACAUCCAGUAUCUUUCAUCCCUCGCUACGGGAACUUACAGCUUGGCAGUAUAGUCGAGCCGUUUAUUGGUCGAAAGUCUCACAACCCAACAUUAGGGCUGUUGGGUGGGAUCUCUUUUAAGCCUCCUCGCCGGCGACAAGAUCAUAUGGCUCCCAAGGGGCGCUAAAUUACCUUACAAACAUUUAGGCCCGGUCUUUUCACCUCCGAAUAAAUAUGCUCUUAUCUGGCAGUUAGCUAUCUGGAGGAUAAAUAUUUAUUCGCCAGAUAAAAUGUACCCGUCUUUUCACGUCAAUUUAUGUUCCAGUUAGUUAUCCGGUAGAUAAGCUUAAAACUUUAACUUAACCUAACAUAAUUAGAUUCAAAGUAUUUCAAAGAUGAUUUUAUCGAUUUUAUUUCCAUUUUGGAAGAAGGAAUGAAGGAAAUAAGGAAAACAUUGAUUAUGCUGAAAUAGUUUACUGGAGAGCUUGAACAAGAGGUAAAUCCAUUUUAAAUUAGAGGAAAACUGUUGAUUUGUAUGUAAAAUAGAAGACAAAGACAAGUUUAAAUAAAGACAAGCUAGCUAAUGAAACAGAUGCAGUGAUAUGACAAACACCUAGAAGAUGGAAUCCUGUGUUCUCAAAGAAAAAGCUAGUUCCAGAAAUAAGCUACCAAUAAUAAACUAGAGAAUGUAUUACAAGAAAGAACAACGCUAAUACCCAACAUAGCUCAAUUGCUUCAGAUAGAAAAAGAGGAGGAAAGGGUAGAACACAAGCGUGCCAGAGAAAAUUAAAGGGCAGAAGAGACACAAAAAUUCAUUGAUUUAUUAAAUUUAAUAAUUAAAUUAUACAAAGGACAAUUAAAUAAAGAAUAAAAAAUUA